RNAcentral lists this long non-coding RNA (201 nucleotides) under Ananas comosus (pineapple). RNAcentral's name for it is "long non-coding RNA (ACOM_LNC024218)". The record is from RNAcentral. Lineage: Eukaryota; Viridiplantae; Streptophyta; Magnoliopsida; Poales; Bromeliaceae.
UUGUUUGUUUGUUUUUUUGGUGGUCAUUCUGGUUGUAUGACUCAAACUAUUUGAGUUAUGGAUAGCUUGUUUGUUUGUUUUUUUGGUGGUCAUUUGGGUUGUAUAAACUCAAACUAUGAACUUAAUUUUAAAGUAUUUAGCUUAUGGAUUAUGAUGUAUAAUGCUUUAUAUUUAAUGGAAUUUGGUCGGCAUAUAUAGCUG